GAUGAACGCUAGCGGGAGGCUUAAUACAUGCAAGUCGAACGGCAGCGUAGGACUUCGGUCCUGAUGGCGAGUGGCGCACGGGUGAGUAACGCGUACACAAUCUACCUAUAAGCGGGGGAUAGCCACUGGAAACGGUGAAUAAUACCCCAUAGUAUUACCUUUUAGAUUAUUUGGUAAUUAAAGCUCCGGCGCUUAUAGAUGAGUGUGCGUCCGAUUAGCUAGUUGGUAAGGUAAUGGCUUACCAAGGCUACGAUUGGUAGGGGGCGUGAGAGCGUGAUCCCCCACACGGGUACUGAGACACGGACCCG
RNAcentral lists this ribosomal RNA (308 nucleotides) under uncultured bacterium. Its description in RNAcentral is "bacterial SSU rRNA". It matches the Rfam family "Bacterial small subunit ribosomal RNA", at positions 28 to 334 of the family's 1533-position model. The record is from RNAcentral.